UACGCAGGGUGCGAACGCUAAUCGGAAUUACUGGGCGUAAAGCGCGCGUAGGUGGCUUGAUAAGCCGGUUGUGAAAGCCACGGGCCCAACCUGGGAAAGGCAUCCGGAACUGUCAGGCUAGAGUGCAGGAGAGGAAGGUAGAAUUCCCGGUGUAGCGGUGAAAUGCGUAGAGAUCGGGAGGAAUACCAGUGGCGAAGGCGGCCUUCUGGACUGACACUGACACUGAGGUACGAAAGCAUGGGGAGCAAACAGG
Molecule: unclassified non-coding RNA, 253 nt
Filed under: uncultured Halomonadaceae bacterium
Lineage: Bacteria; Pseudomonadati; Pseudomonadota; Gammaproteobacteria; Oceanospirillales; Halomonadaceae
Description: contains 16S-23S intergenic spacer region
Rfam family: Bacterial small subunit ribosomal RNA
Source: RNAcentral